ACCAGAUUACUUUGUUAUAUCCUAAACAUUAUGCAAAUGAUCUGUAUCUCACAGUGUCCAAACAAUAACAGUCCCUAAAUAUCUACAGACUCCAUUCAGACCGCAGUGAGGAUCACAGACGUCACCUUUGACCCCUGUAACAGCGCGGCUUACCUGCACUGAGGUGAGCGGGAGUCCUGAGACGGAGAGGACGGCGGUGUGAGAGCGCUGGAGCAUGUACGGAGACCGCUGAAGUCUCUGAUGUGCAGCGGCGUGAGUCUGACGUUAAUCUCACUUCAGGAGAUGAUUAUCUGGCUGAACCUCCAGACACAUUCAGACCGGAGACUCACCUGAAAUCGUUUAGUGCUCAGGCAGGAGGAGGAAGACGAUCAAUAAAUAUCUUUGGGAAAUAAUUGAUUAAAUCCAGCAGCCGGUGUGGUUGAAGAGAGGUCUGUCCUCGUCUGCUGAAUUAAUCAGCGGUGUAUUUCUGCACAAGACGUCCGAUAUCUUCAGUACGUCUCUGUAAAUCAAUGGACUGCAGCUCUCUGCUGUGUGCCAGGCUCAGAUUUGUUGACCGUGUGUGUGUGUGUGUGUGUGUGUGUUUCUGAGAUAAAGCAUCUCUCUUUCUCCCAGUUUGAGUGAUUGUGCUGUGAAUCCCAUCCGUAUCUGAGCUCAGAUCACUCACCUGAUGGAGGAUUGACCUGCAGCGAACGCAGAAUAAUCACAAAUUAAAUCUAUUCAUUUCUAAUUCACAAAUUGGUUAUUUUGAUCACAAAUGAGAUCUCCGCUGCUUCUCCUAGACAGAAGUAUAGUGCAAAUGGAGUGUUUUUAGAUGGAAAAACUAACAUAUUUCAGCUAGUUACCAAGUCAAGAGUUAAUUUCUAUUUGAUGAAAUAUAAAAUAUACGACUGAAACAGUAAUAUAACUUAGUAUAAUAUUAUUACUAAACAUUAUAUAAUAAAUAUAAGUAAUAAAUAUUAGUAUAAUAAUAUAUCUAUAUAUUAUUUAGAGUGAUUGCUGUAUAUUCUCUCACAAUUUUUGGGCAAAAUAAAACAAGCAGAGAAAAUCUUUUUGAGAUUAAGACAUUUUUAUAUAAAUAUUAGUAUUUUAUUUAUGCAUUAUAAAAUACAAUUAUUGUUGUUGUUGUUAUAUUAAAGCCGAA
This 1141-nucleotide long non-coding RNA is filed under the name Carassius auratus (goldfish). RNAcentral describes it as "lncRNA (ENSCARG00000017596.1)". Lineage: Eukaryota; Metazoa; Chordata; Actinopteri; Cypriniformes; Cyprinidae. The record is from RNAcentral.